CUCGUUCGAAAUCCCUCUCUUCGUUCUUCUUCUCACCGUCACCACACUAUUCAAGCUUGCACUAAGAUCGUCAUUCUUCUUCUCACCAUCACCUUGCUCCACCGCUCAAGCCCCGACCCCCGACCCUCAAUGAAAGCAAAAGAAACAUGAAAAGUACCCAAAAAAGGUAAGAAAGUUUCAUUAGAGAAAAAAAAAUGGAUUUCUUUUGUCCCUUUGGUGUAAGUAUAUAACAUAGUCUUUACUGAACUUCUCUUUCCCUCAACUAUUUUACGAAAUGAAAUCUUGAAAUAUGCCAUUAACAACAUAAAAGAAGAAUGGUUAAAAUCUCUUGUUGACACCACACCUCAUUGACCAAAGUUCAAAUCCUCUCCCUCAAUUUGUAUAAAAAAAAUCUUCAAAUGUGUCAAUUAGUCGGUACAAAAUCUUUAGUUGCCAUUCACUUCUGCGAUUUCCUUAACAAAAGAGAGAAGCUAUUGGAAUUUUCAGAUCCUGAAAACCAAAGAUUAUUCAAGCUCAUUAAAGUUUAGGUAUCAAUUAAAUAAAAAGAAGAAGAAAAUUCGAUUCUAACUAAUAAACAAAAGUUACAAACUUCGGUAGUUAAAAUAUACAUUAACCCUUUUAUCUAUAUGAUAUAUUAACAAGUUUAAAGACUACAAAUUAAGGGUAAUGAGUCCUUGACUUAGGUUGCAUUUGAAAACUACAUUUUAACCUAAAAACGCUAUAUAAAUCAUAAAUAGAAAGGUAUUGAAGUGUUUUUCAAACUAUGGGAAACGUAAAACUUCUAGUUUUUGGAUUUUGAGAAAUUACUUUGAGUUAAAUUAUCUAUUUGUCAUCAAUUAUUAUCACAAAAUGUAAAUUCAUUUCAAUUUCCUUUUUGAAUUUUUUAAAGAUAUAAAAACUUUUCUCUAAAACUUGUCAUUUCAAUUAUUAUCACAGAUAAUGAUGCUUGUCGAUCGCUGAAACUCCACUGGUCACUAAUAUUUUUUCUUAGAAAGUGGGUAGCUCUUCGUUAGCUUCUUAAUUUGUUUCUAUUUUGAGAAUAUUUCAGAAUAAUAAAUGAUUUCACAAGUCGAUUUGGAUCUGUGUUGCCUUAAGUUUUAUAUGUUUUUUUUAUUUGUUUUUCCAUUGUUUAUUAAGUCUUCAGUUUUAGAAGUUUUUGUUUACUCUUGUAGCACAGUUUUUAGCCUUGUUUAUAUAUGUAAUCUUAAUUUUACAAGUGAUUUUAGGGAUGAUUUUGUUGUAGUCCUCUAUAGUUUGGUGAAUGCUCGAUUAUUUUGUCGAUUGUUGCUCGCCGCUUUGGACCAUUCGGGGUUGAUUUCCUUAUCAUGUUAAGUACUUGCAAUCACUCCAGAUAUGUCAUGCUUGAAUUGUGCAAAGCCAAUUAUCAACGUGUUAUAAUGUUCUAUUGAUGCUGAGGCUAAAGCCUUUGUUGUGUUGUUAGAGCUUAUCCUUCAUCAUCUACAACGAGUGUUUGUUAUUUUUUCCCCUGGAUUGGAUGGUUCCAUUCAUUGAAUGAAUUAAUGAAUUCACCUUUCAAAUAUAUAUAUAGUAGGCUUAUUUUUUUAUGUAAUUUUAAUAUCUAAAAUAUGGUUUAUAUAUUUAAAUUAAAAUUUACAAAUAAUUUAUAUUAGUUGCUUAAAAUAUUUAAAAUUUAUAUUCCAUAUAUCAAAAUAUUAAUAAUGAAUUACAAUAAAAUAUGUGUCGAAACCGUUUUUUUGAAAACAAAAAUUUAGUUGUCGACUUUAAAAAAAAUAAAACUGGAGUCGCCACCGAUCCUUUAUUGUGACCGGCCCACCUUAAAAAUUAUUUUGGUCUGCGAAUUUUGAAAACAGGUUCGGGAGUCAGUUACGCACGAGGAAGGGUUAGCACCCUCGUAACGCCCAAAAAUCGGUACCAAAUUGACUAUUUAAUGUCUUAGUGUCGAAAGUUAAAAAAGAUUUUAAAAUAAGUUUGGAUGAUGAAAUUUGCAAAAGGAUAACCAAUUGUUCAAGUCAUGGAAAGAAAUCGAGUCCCAAUACGUUAGGGUACAAUUCCUCAUAAUCCCCGAACUUUGGAUAUCUCUCUUAUUUUAUGAAAAUCUUCAUUUCGAGAAAGUAGCAUGCCACACCCAAUACGUUAGGGCACAACAAAUUAAGUUUCCAAAAAUGAUUUUUAUGCAUUUUGAAUAAAAACUAUUCUCGGUCAUUUAGGAUUGACGAAGAAAAUCGGAACCCAAUACGUUAGGGCUCAAUUUCCCUCGAAAAUCCCAAACUUCCAAAAAUACUUUUAUUCGAAAAACCUUUAAAUCAAGAAAAUAAUUUUGAUGAAUGGUAAAAUCAAAAUAUUAUAUUUUCAAAAAAAAAAAAACAGGCAUGUUAAAAAGUUAAUGUAUAACAUGGAACCGAAAUUUAAAAUUAAAUUAUACACGUAUAUAUACAUUUACAAAAUAUACGGAUAUAGGCACAUACAAAUAAAUUUAAAAGUACACAUGUGCAUGGGCUUAGCAUACAUAUAAGAAUACAUAAAAACACAUCAAUCCAAAAACCUAAUAAAAUGUAUGCAUGUAUUUGAAUAUUAUGAGAAUGGAAAGUUUGGAUAUAUACUUAUGCAUAAAACAAAAAUGUGCAAGUAUUCUAAAAUGUAUAUGCAUACAUAUAUAUAUGUUUGUAAAAAAUUUAUGAAGAAUAAUAUAUAAAAAUACGUAUAUACAUAUUUACAAUGGUAAAAAACAAAAUUGAAUCUAAAAUAUAAAGGUGUAUAUAAGUAUGUAUAUAUAUAUAGAAAAAUAAAGAUGUAUUUAGAGCCAUAUAGAUAUAUAUGAAUUAUUAAAUAUAUGGAAAAACAAAUGAAAAUAUGUACAUAAAAAGAGGUAUGUAUGUAGGUAUAUUUACAAAAAGCAGGAAAAAAAACUAAAGUAUAAAAAUGUUUAUAUAUGUAUAUAGAAGUUAUGAAAGAAAGUAGAAAUGAAACAUGCGAAUAAAAUAUAAUAUAUGUAUACUAUAAAAACGUACCUACAUAUAUAUAUAUAUAUAUAUUAAAAACUAUGCAUGUAUUCUAUAUAUAAAAGUAUAUAUAUAUUAUAUAAGAACCAUGCGAAUGAGUAUAGAAAUAAUAAUAGUAAUAAGCAAUAAUAAAUAAUACAAUAACAAUGGUAUUUAAAAAAGAAAAGAGAAAAAACGGACCAAAUUGAAUAAAAACUAAAAUAAAUGGGGCCAAUUUUAAUAAAAAUAAAAACAAAAAGAAGAAAGGGACCCAUUCGAAUGCGCGCGAAACAUGGGAGGGCCAAAAAUGCAAUUAUCCCGCAUUCCUCAAAACGCAGCGCAACAAUGGACUAAAUUGCAAUGAAAACCAAAUGCGCGGCCCAAUUUUUAAAAAAAAAGUAAAGAGGAUUCAAUCGAAACACGCUGCAAAAGGAAGGGCCAAUUCCGCAAAUAGACCAUGUGACGUCAGAGCGCGCGGAUCCUCCCCUUCGGGUCGGGUCACCGCGCGGGUCUGCCUUAAUGAAAACAGCGUCGUUUUGAUUGUUAAUUAAAACAAAUUUUCCCUUUCAAAAUCAUUUGAAACUGAAUGAAAAGAGGGAAAAAAAAAACUAUGCUUCUGGUACUCUGCUAGGGUUUCACCCCUAGCGUCCUCGCGCCGCCCCUCCGGCGAUUCGGACGAUCCGAAGUCCGACACCGAUUCCGACGACUCAGGUAAGUUUUCUUUUUCUUUUUCUUUUUCUCUGCUAUUUUAAAUGAAAACAAAAUGAAAAAUAAAAGAAAAUAAAAAAAUAAAACAAUAGACCCUCUUAACAAAAAAAAGUAAUCACCUUUAAAAACAAGUUUACUGCUUUUUUAUUCCUGAUUCCCUAUCAAAAGAUCCGUCCUUUACAGAUUAAAAUAUAGCCUUUUAUAGGCCGAAAGAAAAAACAAAAAUAAAAUUAUUUGCUUGUUUUUUCCCCUUCGGACUCUUUAAGUCCGCGUUUGCAGGUACGUGGAAAGUCUGGCAUGCGUGGAGGCCGAGACUUGCGGCGUCCGGAUGCUGCUGGAGGCGCAAAAGGCA
RNAcentral lists this long non-coding RNA (4020 nucleotides) under Gossypium raimondii (Peruvian cotton). Its description in RNAcentral is "long non-coding RNA (GRAI_LNC007367)". Lineage: Eukaryota; Viridiplantae; Streptophyta; Magnoliopsida; Malvales; Malvaceae. The record is from RNAcentral.